GAUGAACGCUGACAGAAUGCUUAACACAUGCAAGUCUUUGGCGAAGCUGUGCUUGCACAGCCUAGCCAAGGCGGACGGGUGAGUAACGCGUAAGGAACUUGCCCUGCAGUCAGGGAUAACAGACGGAAACGACUGAUAAGACCUGGUAAAGUCAGGCGGACUCAUGUCCAGCCUGAUGAAAAGUGAUGCUGCAGGAGAGCCUUGCGUCCUAUUAGCUUGUUGGUGGGGUAACGGCCCACCAAGGCAAUGAUAGGUAGCCGGCCUGAGAGGGUGGACGGCCACAAGGGGACUGAGAUACGGCCCUUACUCCUACGGGAGGCAGCAGUGGGGAAUAUUGGACAAUGGGGGCAACCCUGAUCCAGCAAUUCUGUGUGCACGACGAAGGUUUUCGGAUUGUAAAGUGCUUUCAGCAGGGAAGAAAAAAAUGACGGUACCUGCAGAAGAAGCGACGGCUAAAUACGUGCCAGCAGCCGCGGUAAUACGUAUGUCGCAAGCGUUAUCCGGAAUUAUUGGGCAUAAAGGGCAUCUAGGCGGCCAGAUAAGUCUGGGGUGAAAACUUGCGGCUCAACCGCAAGCCUGCCCUGGAAACUAUGUGGCUAGAGUACUGGAGAGGUGGACGGAACUGCACGAGUAGAGGUGAAAUUCGUAGAUAUGUGCAGGAAUGCCGAUGAUGAAGAUAGUUCACUGGACGGUAACUGACGCUGAAGUGCGAAAGCUAGGGGAGCAAACAGG
This 732-nucleotide ribosomal RNA is filed under the name uncultured Leptotrichia sp. RNAcentral's name for it is "bacterial SSU rRNA". It matches the Rfam family "Bacterial small subunit ribosomal RNA", at positions 28 to 776 of the family's 1533-position model. Lineage: Bacteria; Fusobacteriati; Fusobacteriota; Fusobacteriia; Fusobacteriales; Leptotrichiaceae. The record is from RNAcentral.